GGAAAAAGGCUAUUGCUCAGUGGAACAGCCUCUGCUUUACAUGCAGAAGGUUGCAGGUUCAAUCCCAGCAGCUCCA
Molecule: non-coding RNA, 76 nt
Organism: Podarcis lilfordi (Lilford's wall lizard)
Lineage: Eukaryota; Metazoa; Chordata; Lepidosauria; Squamata; Lacertidae
Source: the annotation of a GenBank genome assembly